GACGAACGCUGGCGGCGUGCCUAAUACAUGCAAGUUGAGCGCUGAAGGUUGGUACUUGUACCAACUGGAUGAGCAGCGAACGGGUGAGUAACGCGUGGGGAAUCUGCCUUUGAGCGGGGGACAACAUUUGGAAACGAAUGCUAAUACCGCAUAAAAACUUUAAACACAAGUUUUAAGUUUGAAAGAUGCAAUUGCAUCACUCAAAGAUGAUCCCGCGUUGUAUUAGCUAGUUGGUGAGGUAAAGGCUCACCAAGGCGAUGAUACAUAGCCGACCUGAGAGGGGGCUCGGCCACGUUGGGCCUGAGACACGGCCCAACCUCCUGCGGGAGGCAGCCGUAGGGAAUCUUCGGCAAUGGCCGCAAGUCUGACCGGGCAACGCCGCGUGAGGGCAGGAGGGUUUCGGGUCGUAAAACUCUGUUGGGAGUGAAGAACGUUGGUGUGAGUGGAAAGCGCAUCAAGUGACGGUACCUACCCAGAAAGGGACGGCUAACUACGUG
This 497-nucleotide ribosomal RNA is filed under the name uncultured bacterium. RNAcentral's name for it is "partial 16S ribosomal RNA". It matches the Rfam family "Bacterial small subunit ribosomal RNA", at positions 28 to 507 of the family's 1533-position model. The record is from RNAcentral.